Molecule: ribosomal RNA, 232 nt
Filed under: uncultured bacterium
Lineage: Bacteria
Description: partial 16S ribosomal RNA
Rfam family: Bacterial small subunit ribosomal RNA
Source: RNAcentral
CGGACGGGUGAGUAAUGCAUAGGAAUCUACCCAGUAGUGGGGGACAACUCGGAGAAAUUCGAGCUAAUACCGCAUGUGUCCUACGGGACAAAGCAGGGGACCUUCGGGCCUUGCGCUAUUGGAUGAGCCUAUGUCGGAUUAGCUAGUUGGUAGGGUAAAGGCCUACCAAGGCGACGAUCCGUAGCUGGUCUGAGAGGAUGACCGGCCACACUGGAACUGAGACACGGUCCAG